RNAcentral lists this ribosomal RNA (361 nucleotides) under Fallicambarus dissitus. RNAcentral describes it as "partial 12S ribosomal RNA". The record is from RNAcentral. Lineage: Eukaryota; Metazoa; Arthropoda; Malacostraca; Decapoda; Cambaridae.
UAGUACACUUAAAUUUAAUUUAUAAAUAUUAGAAUAUUAAGAGUUAUAUUCUUUAAAUUUAAAAAAUUUGGCGGUGUUUUAGUCUAGUUAGAGGAACCUGUAUUAUAAACGACAUAACACGCAUUAUUUUACUUAUUUUGGUAAACAGUUUGUAUACCGUCAUUAUUAGAUAAUUUAUGAGAAAAUAUUAUUGGGAUCAUGUUAUUGAGUAUAUUAGAUCAAGGUGCAGCUUAUAAAUAAGUAGAUAUGGGUUACAAUAAAAUUUAUUUAAUAUGGAUUUAAUAUUUAAAUAUGUUUAUGAAGGAGGAUUUAAUUGUAAGGAAAGGAGUAGUAAGAUUUUCUGAUAAAAGCUCUAAAUUAU